RNAcentral lists this long non-coding RNA (5264 nucleotides) under Selaginella moellendorffii. RNAcentral's name for it is "long non-coding RNA (SMOE_LNC001544)". The record is from RNAcentral. Lineage: Eukaryota; Viridiplantae; Streptophyta; Lycopodiopsida; Selaginellales; Selaginellaceae.
CAGUGCAUGACAAGAGCUUGAUGAUGCAACCAUCGGGCUGUUCUUCGACGGUGACAACGAGCACCGGACAAACUUCGAAGGCGAAGAACUUGAGCUUGUGGACGUAGCACUUGAAGGUAUUGUCGUCCACUCUCUCGAUACUCAUUCCUUUGAGCUCCUCUCGAAGAAAUCGGUGCUGCAAGUGUGAUCCUGGGUUCGAGAAGAGCGAUCUGGAGGCUGACCUCCUGGAGAACUAUUUCGCGGGCAAAGCCUUCCUGAUUUCCAAGAACGAUGAGAAGCCCGUCGAUAAUGUGGCCCUGUCAGGCUUCACGCCUUCCAGAUCAGACCUGGGACGCUUCCCCCUCGCGAUCCUUCCAGCGCCGUGACGAGCAUCGUCCAGAUUUUGUUGGAACUCGACCAUCGCGGCGCAGGGCAUCGGAUGAUGCGCCGCGCGCCACGACUGGAUCCAAUCCCUCGCGCUGGAGAAACACUUCGCAUUAGUUAGUAACGAAGAUCUGACGGCUGCGGAUGUUCCUGAUUGUAUCCGGUGUAAUAAAUUGCCAUCUGAAAUAGACAUGACCUAGGGUUACAACAGGAUGGAGGAGAUGGGGGAGAUGGGGGAGACGGCGAUGUAUGCGCGUACGACGAAGAUCUCUCCUGGAUGUGCGAUCAUGUUAUGUAAUUGGCGUCCUGUGAUUCCGGCGGUCAUAAAUCACAACAGCGGUUUGGAAGGUUUCGAUUCAGGUAUUAAAUCGUGGAUUCUCUUGGAUCCUGGCCAGAGGCGUCUUCGUCAUUAUACCAUCACAGGAGGAGGAGAAAAGAGGGCAAGAGAGGAGGCAGAAAAGAGUGAGGCUGGUGGAAAGAGGCCAAGAAUCAAGGUGCCAGCGGCAGGCAAGGCUCCAAGAAUUGAGGUGGCAGUAGAAAAGAGUGUCGAGGCACUAGCAUCGGCAAGCAAGACUCUUGACGAGUAGGUGUUGUUGCUUUCAGAUGGCUCUUUGCAUCUAUCAGGUGGGAUAGUGGAUAGAAAAGCAUCUGUGAUGUAACUGAUGGAUGCGAAGCAGUAUAUGUGGGACACUCUCCAGGGUCUUACCAAGCAACAGCUGCCAUGUCACUUCAUAGCACAGCAGGAGGCCGAAGGAGAGUUCUAAAGCCUCGUUAUUCAUCUGAAUUCACUGCAAAAACAAGUGAAUGAGAUUCAACCUUGUCUCCAAGUGCUAGAGGAUUGGAUAGGAUAUUCGAAGCCUGAACUCUACGAGGUACUGGGGAUCAAUCGGUUCACUGCAGCUGCUGAGAUUUUGGAUGUUGCGGCAAGCUUCCUUUCUUACUUCACAAGGGAAGCCAUACAGAAGUAGGGAGUUCUUGACGAGCUGGUGGACUACGGGCCUACAAGGCCUAGGAAGUUGAAGCCAUACAACUCCUAUGACAAAUCUGCCAUAACUUACAGAAGCUUGUGGUGGUUUGUUUUUAACAAGGAGGCGAGUGGGAAAUCUCUAAGUGAGGUAUGGCAUAAUUUUGAGAUUCAGGGAUAAGUACUUCCCCCUGAUUGGGAUCGGAAGCGAAGUUCAACACGCAAGGAAGGUAUGCAUGUCAUCUAUAAAUAGGUUAUUCAAGCCGUUGAGGAGGAGUUGGUCAAAGACAUAAGUUUUUGCCAACAGUAAUGCGACAUCAGGAAAUGUAUGGGGUUUUACUUGUCGUGCAUCAAUAGGAAGUCUAUUCAAGAGUGUCCAGGAUCCCCAUUGUGUGCACUCCAACGUUCUGCCUCGGCUUGAUGCAUGACAAGUAAAACCCUAUACAUUUCCUGAUGUCGCACUACUGUUAGCAGGAACUCAUGUUUUUGACCAGCUCCUCCUUAACAGCUUGGAUAACCCGUUUACAGAUGACAUGCAUACCUUCCUUGCAUGCUGAACUUCACUUCCGAUCCCAAUCAGGGGGAAGUACCUGUCUCUGAAUCUCAAAAUCAUGCCAUACCUCACUUAGAGAUUUCCCGUUCGCCUCCUUGUUGAAAAUAAACCACCACAAACUUUUGUAAGUUAUGGCAGGUUUGUCAUAGGAGCUGUAUGGCUUCAACUUCCUAAGUCCUGUAGGCCCGUAGUCCACCAGCUCGUCAAGAAUUCUUUGCUUCUAUAUAGCUUCCUUUGUGAAGUAAGAAAGGAAGCUUGCCGCAACGUUCAAAAUCUCAACAGCUGCAGUGAACUGAUUGAUCCCUAAUACCUCGUAGAGUCUAGGCUUCAAAUAUCUUAUCCAAUCCUCUAGCACUUGGAGACGAGGUUGAAUCUCAUUUAGCACUUGGAGAUGAGGUUAAAUCUCAUUCACCUAUUUUUGCAGUGAAUCCAGGCGAAUAACAAAGCUUUGGAACUCCUCCGGCCUCUUGCUGUGCUAUGAAGUGACCUGGCAGCUGUUACUUGGUAAGACCCUGGAGAGUGUCCCACAUAUACUACUUCGCAUCCAUCAGUUGCAUCACAUAUGCUUUCUUAUCCACUAUCUGAGGUGGAACACUAGAGUGCACACAAUGAGGAUCCUGGACACUCUUGAAUGGGCUUCCUCUUCCUCGACUACUGCAACCUUCUCAGUGGAUAGGUCGGACAUACAGUUGAAGAAGAUGGAGAUGUCAGAGCUCCAGCAUAAGAUUCAUGUCUUGUUCGAUAUUCAUGGUCAUGCUCACACUAUUCCGGAGUUCAAGUAUAUCGCUAACACUUUCUACCCUCUGCUUAACUGGUACGCAAUGAAGCUGGGGAUCAAAGUGUUUGAGAUCUACAGCAGGAACAAGUUGGUGGAUGAAGAUGCAAGUGUCACUUAUGAGUUUGUGGAGGGGAAGUGGAUGAGAGAUGGCCUUCAAGAUUAGCAUUGGUCUCUCCUAUCUUGGUACAGCAUGUGGGAGUGAGCGAUAGACUGUGUUGACUGAAAGUAAGUACUUGAUUCUUGAACGAACGUCUGUUGUUCUGACGAGUUUUUUGUGUUGUUGGACAAAGUGGAAGAAGUGUGGCAGCAAAUGGACCAAGAGCUUCGGCUCCCAGAAGGUUUCUUCGUCAUGACAAUUGAGUCUCUCGCGCUACUGGGACAAGUGACCAAAGCUGACCGCAAACGUCCAGGCUCGGCUCUUACAAGCACUGGCUCGUCACUUCGCCAAGCAAGGAAACAUGAAGAGAGUGGAGGAAAUGCUGGGCCUUGCCGAUAGAUACGAGCUGACACCAUCUUUCGGGAUUUACAACUAUCUCGUCACUGGGUACUUGGCCAGGAAGGACCCCCAGACGGCGGCCUCGAGGAUGAGAUUGGCGUUGAAAGUGGUGACCGAAGAGCGAGCAGUGCCAUCUUAUGCCGCUGUCACGGGAUUGCUUCCAUAUCUAGCAGUGGAGAAAGACGUGACGACUGCCGAGCAAAUGGUGCGGAGGUAUAGAGGCUGGACGGAUGACAACUUCCACAAGCUGCUGCUUAAUGUCUACGUAGAAGCUGGGAAAGGACCGUCUCCGGACAUAAAGUCGAGGUUCAGGCGCCUUCCCUGCGUUGGUCACGUUGAAGCCAGGCGGCUGGCUAUCAAGGCCUUCGCGUUAGAUCCAUAGCGAUUGCUGCGGUGACACUACGACUACUGGUAACUAUACCCGUCUCUCUUUUGCCGGCUGGUCCUGACUCUUUUGUUCAAAUCCAGGAGUACUUUUCUUCUCUUCGCGACGUCAAACGGACCUCCUCGUAGCUGCGGUUAUGCAAGUUCUUAUUGAGACGAAUGGCCGAGGUCUACAAAACCGAGCAAACCAGCUUGGCUUGGCUGAAGUGAUCAUCAUACAAGCGGCUGCCGAUAAGAUUUCAAGGAGAAGAGAGCUGUACAGGGAGCUAGAGCUGGCCCGUCCCGAGUGGACGUCUGGAUCUGUCCCCCGAGGCCCACGCACGGUAGUCCUUUUCAAGCUGCAAGGCAUCAAACACAGUUUUACGAAGAUGAGAGAAUCUGGACAGCACCUGGCUCAAAAAUCGAGGAAGCAUGACGCGCAGGACUUGGCCGAGCACUUGGUUCCCGGUCGAUUCUAUAGCUUGGACUGGAAUAGCUCGAAAGGCAAAAGGCACCUCUAUCGUCACCUGCGAGGAUAUAUCAUCAAGCCGGGACUUGCAGCGAGCAACUUUACCUCGAUGGUUGCAUCCGAGAUGAGCUUCCGGGACUUCGGUGAUCUGCCGCUGUUCUUCCACGACACUCUAUUCUCCAUGGACGCUGGAGCACAGCAGCCAGUUACUGACAGGGCCGGGGAGAAAGAACGAAGAUGCUACCAUCAUACCUGAGAACUUUUGGUUCUGCGCGACUACUAUUGGAGAACCUUCGAGCUGAUGAGGAUCGGGGUGUUUAGAAUUCGACCGUGGGGAGCAGCAGAGAGUCUACUUACAGUGCAUGACAAGAGCUUGAUGAUGCAACCAUCGGGCUGUUCUUCGACGGUGACAACGAGCACCGGACAAACUUCGAAGGCGAAGAACUUGAGCUUGUGGACGUAGCACUUGAAGGUAUUGUCGUCCACUCUCUCGAUACGCUGCGCAUCUAACACCGAGUACUGGCUUGCAGGAAGACUCAUAUACUCGGCUGGGAAGAACGAAGAACAAGAAGGAAAAAAAGAUGAGAGGCUUGCCAGGCAUGGACAUUCUUCGCCGAGUACCUAGAGGGCGAUGGGUCUCCUCGAGAAGGUAACUCUCGCUCGCUCGCCCGACUAACCUUGCCCGUGGCUCUGAUCUCCCGAGAUCGCCAGGGACGUCGACCGCUGCCGCGAUUCUCCCGUGCUGCCGCUGCCGCUUCCUCCUCCGCGAUGCAAAGCUUGGAGGACCCAGCUUGAGCGCUUCCAAUCCAGGCUUUUCGGGAGAAGACAAGGCAAUGUGAUGGUGGCUCCGAGACUCCAGGGAGGAGAAGAGGCUCCAGCACGCCAUGCCCUUCGUGGAUUUGCUGGAGAGUUCGAUACCUCUGAGAGUUUUAAUGGUAAAAAGUUAAAAGUUAAAAAGUAGAAAGGUUUAGGAUGAAUGUUUACCUUUUAGCAAAAUAGAAUUGUCCCUGGAAUAUUCUUGACGAAAACUGGGCUUAUAAACCCUAAAAUAUAUUUGCGCGAUGAUGGAAGAGCUCCAAUCGUGGCUGCGAAUUCACAUCGCCGUCCACGACCUUUGCGGCUUGCGCGGCUUCGAUCUUAGGGUUUUUGAGAGGCAAGGAGUUCCAGCAGCGAUCUUCUCUCGUCAGCGCCUUCAUCCGCGGCUAUCCACAGCGAUCUAGGACGAUCAACAAAAUGUAGGUGCGAACUAGCAAUCUAGGAUGAUCCACAGGAGGAUGG